Long non-coding RNA from Ictalurus punctatus (channel catfish), 2320 nucleotides. NCBI's taxonomy places the organism in Eukaryota, Metazoa, Chordata, Actinopteri, Siluriformes, Ictaluridae. The record is from Ensembl.
AGCGCAGACAGCAAUAAAACGUUCUGCUCAGCUGAAGUGGUCUUUAGUUUCUACAAACAGAUCACAGAGAGAUUUGUUUCUGCACGAUACAACGAUUUUCAAAAAUGAGGAGGAAUCACAAAGAGACACCUCAGCAUCAAGCUAUGCUGGGAUUAAGGAGUAGUAAAAUGGACAGAGCAAGAGAAGGAGUGGCGAUGACGUUCGCUCCAGAAUUGAGUAACAGGCCUACAAAUCAAGAUUUCUGCCAGGAAACUGCACGACCUGAGGAAGUUCUGGCACAUGGGAAAAAUAGUAUGCACUCUAUGGCAAAGCAGAACAUCCACGUAGUUAGCAUUAACAAAUCCAGAAAUAAAUUAGUCGACCCCGUAAAGAUUUUAGAAGGUAAACGAGCAGGUGCUGGACCUGCAGCAAAGAGCCCUGGGAAACCAAAACUUCUUCCCAGAAUGCCCAGAAUGGAUCCAAUUGUUCAUCCCCCAUUUAGAGCACUGAUGCGCAAGGAAACGUUAAGCGAAACAUAUGGCAAUCCUCAGGCACAUGGGGAAAAUAGCAUGUGCACUACGGCAAAGAAGAAUAUCCGCUUACGUGUCGCUAACACAACCAGAAAGAAAUCAGUCAAACCCAGAAAGACCAUAGAAGUAUUUGGACAAGCAGGUGCUGGACCUGCAGCAAAGAGCCCUGGGAAACCAAAACUUCUUCCUAGAAAGCCCAGAAUGGAUCCGAUUGGUCAUCCCUCAUUUAGAGCACUGAUGCGCAGGGAAAAGUUAAGCAAAACAUCCAGCAAUCCUCAGGUACUUACAGGUACUACAGAGGUAAAGAGUAAGUAUCUUGAGCCUACAAUUAAGGUAGAACCUCAAUUAAGAACUAACAUUACUGAUGCUGUCCUGGAUUGCAUAACCUCUGGAUCGUUCAAGAAUCAGCUCACUCUGCGCAUUGUGGGUGAAAUUGAUGAUAUACUAGCAAAAGCUGUGUCCCAGGUUCACAAGCAACAGCAUCCCGUGAGAUUCAGUGCAGCAGGGGAUAAGAUAAACAACAUCUCCCGGGAACAACAAUCAAGCAACAAUGUUUUCAUGCCUGGCUUCAGUGAUGGUGUGGCAUCUAUGAUUGGUUGUGCACUGAUAGAACUUAGAGAAGAUGUGAAAAAAACUUUUACAAGCCAGUCACACGAAUUUCAGACAGCCUCACCAACGGCAUGCGAUUCUACAACAGAAAUAGUGGAGAGUCUCUUUGAAAGUAUGCUUGAUUCCUUGAUUCCUCAACUGAAACCAGAUGUUAGCACUGAAAAGGAUCCUAGCACGAUUGAUUCUCUUUAUAGCUAUGAGUUUGAUACAGUGUCUGAUAGUAUCCUUCCCAGCACUGACUCAGAUGUCAACCAGAGUCCAGUCCAUGAGCCAAGAGGAGGUGCUGAUGACGAGUCUAGCAUCACAGCUCAGGACAUUGAGACAUUAGACAUUGUGAAAGAGAGAGCUGACUCCCCAAGAAGAUCUACCAAAGUCCCAUUCUCCACAGUAUUUGACCAGUCUUCUGGACCUGAAGUUAAGGCCAAAGAUGAGGUUGAGGGCAUCUUGGCUGCUUCUGGAAGCAUGAGCCCCCUUGAUGACCCUCUGACUUCAAGAGUCAAAUCUGACUCCUAUUUGGAUGCAAGCGUUCUUGAGGUCACUGCUACUUCUUCAACAGAAAAUGUUGACCACAUGUCAAGAUCUGAUGAAGUUGCAGAAGAAGGACUUUUGGCUAAAUCAGAUGUUGAGCUUGAGCAAAUCAUGGCUGCUCCUUCUGAGGAAAACACUCCUUCUGACAUUACAUCCCAAAGCCUUCACCAGGAAUGUACUAGCCCUGUCCCUUCACCACCUUCUAGUGAUAAGCCAACCUCCCCAAGAGGAUCUGCCAGGAGAAGGGCAUGUCCUGUAAAAGUCAGCUCUUUGCCAAACAUAUUCUCUGACAGAGGAGAUGGCAUCUUUGACCAGUCUCACCAAAAGUUAGAGAGUGUUGACAAGCGUAGACUUUCUCUGACUGGCAUGGAAAUGGGUUCUUCUGAAAACAGAAGCGGCCUUGAUGGGCCUCUGAGUUCAUCUGAAGCAUCUGAUGUUGAAGAAGCUGCAGCAAAAUCAGCUGGUUACAAAGCAGUACUCUGUUGAAAUUAUUCUGAUGUAUUAAAUUAGUGCAAAUAAAUGAACCAUCCAUUCAUUAUCUUUUUACACUGUUCUUUCUUGUUUCCAAAUUGUAGCCUCCCCAAGAAGAUUGUUGUGGGAAAUAAUCUUUCCAGCUUAACAAAAAACUUCAGAGACAGAGGGUUUGUAGCUGUCAAAAAGUAAUUAAACCAGUG